This 435-nucleotide ribosomal RNA is filed under the name uncultured bacterium. RNAcentral describes it as "partial 16S ribosomal RNA". It matches the Rfam family "Bacterial small subunit ribosomal RNA", at positions 28 to 507 of the family's 1533-position model. The record is from RNAcentral.
GAUGAACGCUGGCGGUAUGCUUAACACAUGCAAGUCGAACGGACUCUUCGGAGUUAGUGGCGGACGGGUGAGUAACGCGUGUGAAUCUGGCUUUGGGUUCGGGACAACCACUGGAAACGGUGGCUAAUACCGGAUGUGCCGAGAGGUAAAAGAGAAAUUGCCUGAAGAUGAGCUCGCGUCUGAUUAGCUAGUUGGUGAGGUAAAGGCUCACCAAGGCAGCGAUCAGUAGCUGGUCUGAGAGGAUGACCAGCCACACUGGGACUGAGACACGGCCCAGACUCCUACGGGAGGCAGCAGUGGGGAAUUUUCCGCAAUGGGCGAAAGCCUGACGGAGCAAUACCGCGUGAGGGAAGAAGGCUCUUGGGUUGUAAACCUCUUUUCUUAGGGAAGAACAAAAUGACGGUACCUAAGGAAUCAGCAUCGGCUAACUCCGUG